UCUUAUCUAAUUUAAUAUAAAAUACAUAACUUGUAAUUAUGACUUACAGAUACACAUGUGAUAAGAU
Molecule: transfer RNA, 67 nt
Filed under: Sympagella nux
Lineage: Eukaryota; Metazoa; Porifera; Hexactinellida; Lyssacinosida; Rossellidae
Description: tRNA-Thr
Source: RNAcentral